GGCAACCUGCUCAAGUCUGCUUCGGUAGUGUGGAAGCUUUGUUUUUUUACUUGUUGCAAUGAAACUUGCUGCUGCUCAGUUUUUGAUUUUGCACUGCCUUUAUGAGCUGUAAUCCUCACCGUGAAGGUCUGCAGCUUCACUCCUGAGGCAAGCAAGACCACGAAGCCAGUGGGAGGGAUAAACAACUCCGGACAGGAAAAAUGAACAAUUCCAGACGCGCCGCCUUAAGAACUGUAACACCCACUGGGAACGUCUGCAGCUUUGCUUCUGAAGCCAGCGAGACCAUGAAGCCACCAGAAGGAAGAAACGCCAAACCCGUCUGAACAUCAGAAGGAGAAAACUCCAGACACACCAUUUUUAAGAACUGUAACACUCACUGCGAGGGUCUGUGGCUUCAUUCUUGGAGUCAGUGAGACCAAGAACCCACCAAUUUCGGACAUGCUGGGAACAUAUCCUGGUAACUGUGUGUCCUUAUUUCUCAGCACAAUGCUUGCUACCUGAGAGGAGUGCAAUUAAAACAGCGACCACAAUAACAACCACUUGAAUGAAUGGAAGAAUGAUUACAUUAAUUUCUGCUGGGAAGGAUGUCAUGGGAAUUCUGCUUCUUGGCAAUUUUCACGGAUUGUAAAAUUAGCUUACCAACUUGCAUAAAAACUUCUGUAUGUUAUUGAAUAUCAUCAGUUUUAGCAAGCAUUCUUGUCUCAUUCCUGAUUUUAGAGGAAAUACUUGAACUUCUCACUCGAAAGGAACUAAAAUAAUUCUGAGUACUAGCAAGGACUAAGAUGAAGUUCAAUGUUAUGACUGCAAAGUGAAAUGAUCAGAAGUUUCAUGGCCAUGAGUACUGCUGCCUGGCCCGGGCAUGAGAAAUGAGUUUGCUCUAGACUGCAGAUUGUGAAGACGAGCUUUGCAAAAAUCUAACAUCUAGUGCAUUCUGACUAUGGAGAGGAUAUAAUUGAUGUAAGACUCCAAGAGAUUGCUGGUGAAUAGAUCUGUGGUUAGAUUUUAAACGAUGGAUUUAGAAAACAAUUCAAUGAGGUUAAAAUUAAUUUUAGUAAAUGUGAGGGAUAAGAGAAAGGAAGGCUGAGAUAAGCUGUUUUAUAAGAAAUAGUUAUGCUGAACAGAUCCAAGUUUUGCUGAGGUGAAGCAGAAACAAUAUGGCGAUUAGAAAGAACAGCGAGGUCAAGAUGUUACUGCAUUUUCAACCUGGGUAACUACGAGGUCAAUAUGUGAAUAAGUUAACAAUGUAUUGCUGAAGAAAUUAUGAAUAGAAUGGAGAGGAAACUGGGAAAGUAUAGAGUGUGGUUAUUUACUACAUGUUUUAGGUCACCAGUUAAAAUAAAUAAAGUUGACCUAGGUUUAAAAAGAAGGGAAAAUGUUAAACAAGGAUCAUUGUUGAGUAAUUGGAAUUAAGAGUUCACACAAAAAGCAGGCUGUCUCUUAAUCCUAGGGCAUGAAGAGCAGGGGAUAAAAGGAUGGUCUCUGUCAGAUAUUUCCAAGAAAAAGC
Molecule: long non-coding RNA, 1504 nt
Filed under: Homo sapiens (human)
Lineage: Eukaryota; Metazoa; Chordata; Mammalia; Primates; Hominidae
Description: non-protein coding lnc-REG3G-12:4
Source: RNAcentral